This 707-nucleotide ribosomal RNA is filed under the name uncultured bacterium. RNAcentral's name for it is "bacterial SSU rRNA". It matches the Rfam family "Bacterial small subunit ribosomal RNA", at positions 57 to 760 of the family's 1533-position model. The record is from RNAcentral.
GCAGUCGAGCGGUAGAGAGGUGCUUGCACCUCUUGAGAGCGGCGGACGGGUGAGUAAAGCCUAGGAAUCUGCCUGGUAGUGGGGGAUAACGCUCGGAAACGGACGCUAAUACCGCAUACGUCCUACGGGAGAAAGCAGGGGACCUUCGGGCCUUGCGCUAUCAGAUGAGCCUAGGUCGGAUUAGCUAGUUGGUGAGGUAAUGGCUCACCAAGGCGACGAUCCGUAACUGGUCUGAGAGGAUGAUCAGUCACACUGGAACUGAGACACGGUCCAGACUCCUACGGGAGGCAGCAGUGGGGAAUAUUGGACAAUGGGCGAAAGCCUGAUCCAGCCAUGCCGCGUGUGUGAAGAAGGUCUUCGGAUUGUAAAGCACUUUAAGUUGGGAGGAAGGGCAUUAACCUAAUACGUUAGUGUUUUGACGUUACCGACAGAAUAAGCACCGGCUAACUCUGUGCCAGCAGCCGCGGUAAUACAGAGGGUGCAAGCGUUAAUCGGAAUUACUGGGCGUAAAGCGCGCGUAGGUGGUUCGUUAAGUUGGAUGUGAAAUCCCCGGGCUCAACCUGGGAACUGCAUUCAAAACUGUCGAGCUAGAGUAUGGUAGAGGGUGGUGGAAUUUCCUGUGUAGCGGUGAAAUGCGUAGAUAUAGGAAGGAACACCAGUGGCGAAGGCGACCACCUGGACUGAUACUGACACUGAGGUGCGAAAGC